Molecule: ribosomal RNA, 505 nt
Filed under: uncultured bacterium
Lineage: Bacteria
Description: partial 16S ribosomal RNA
Rfam family: Bacterial small subunit ribosomal RNA
Source: RNAcentral
GACGAACGCUGGCGGCGUGCCUAAUACAUGCAAGUAGAACGCACAGUUUAUACCGUAGCUUGCUACACCAUAGACUGUGAGUUGCGAACGGGUGAGUAACGCGUAGGUAACCUGCCUGGUAGCGGGGGAUAACUAUUGGAAACGAUAGCUAAUACCGCAUAAUAUUAAUUAUUGCAUGAUAAUUAAUUGAAAGGUGCAAUUGCACCACUACCAGAUGGACCUGCGUUGUAUUAGCUAGUAGGUGAGGUAACGGCUCACCUAGGCGACGAUACAUAGCCGACCUGAGAGGGUGAUCGGCCACACUGGGACUGAGACACGGCCCAGACUCCUACGGGAGGCAGCAGUAGGGAAUCUUCGGCAAUAGACGAAAGUCUGACCGAGCAACGCCGCGUGAGUGAAGAAGGUUUUCGUAUCGUAAAGCUCUGUUGUAAGAGAAGAACGGGUGUGAGAGUGGAAAGUUCACACUGUGACGGUAUCUUACCAGAAAGGGACGGCUAACUACGUG